GGGUCAGUAGGUUGGUCGUGCCACCGGUACGUACUGGUCUCACUGAUUCCUCCUUCCUGAAGAACCGUAAUGCCAUUAAUUUGGUGUUGUGGGGAAACAGGACUGUUACUUUGAAAAAAUUAGAGUGUUUAAAGCAAGCUAACGCUUGAAUACAUUAGCAUGGAAUGAUGAAAUAGGACGAUCGAUCCUAUUUUGUUGGUUUCUAGGAUUGACGUA
RNAcentral lists this ribosomal RNA (216 nucleotides) under Glomeromycotina sp. RNAcentral's name for it is "partial small subunit ribosomal RNA". The stretch from base 40 to 216 matches the Rfam family "Eukaryotic small subunit ribosomal RNA", at positions 686 to 864 of the family's 1831-position model. Lineage: Eukaryota; Fungi; Glomeromycota. The record is from RNAcentral.